Molecule: ribosomal RNA, 407 nt
Filed under: uncultured soil bacterium
Lineage: Bacteria
Description: bacterial SSU rRNA
Rfam family: Bacterial small subunit ribosomal RNA
Source: RNAcentral
AGAUUGAACGCUGGCGGCAUGCCUUACACAUGCAAGUCGAACGGUAGAGUAGCAAUACUUGAGAGUGGCGAACGGGUGAGUAAUAUAUCGGAACGUGCCCAGUCGUGGGGGAUAACGUAGAGAAAUUUACGCUAAUACCGCAUACGAUCUAAGGAUGAAAGCGGGGGACCGUAAGGCCUCGCGCGAUUGGAGCGGCUGAUAUCAGAUUAGGUUGUUGGUGAGGUAAAAGCUCACCAAGCCGACGAUCUGUAGCUGGUUUGAGAGAACGACCAGCCACACUGGGACUGAGACACGGCCCAGACUCCUACGGGAGGCAGCAGUGGGGAAUUUGGACAAGUGGGCGAAAGCCUGAUCCAGCAAUGCCGCGUGCAGGAAGAAGGCCUUGGUGUAACUGUCUUUGUACGGAA